RNAcentral lists this microRNA precursor (338 nucleotides) under Glycine max (soybean). Its description in RNAcentral is "miR10440 stem-loop (gma-MIR10440)". The record is from miRBase by way of RNAcentral. Lineage: Eukaryota; Viridiplantae; Streptophyta; Magnoliopsida; Fabales; Fabaceae.
AUGAUUGGAAGGUUUAUGUUAUAUAUCUGAAGUAUUGUCCCAAUGAUCAUUAAAGUAUAAUGGUCAAAUUGUGCUCUUUGGUUAACAAAGUCUUUCUUGUGUAAGAAUUUAAUGUUACAAGGAGUUGUUAGAUAACCUUAACAAGUUAUUUAACACUAAACUUUGACAGAGAAAAGAUUAUGUUCACCAAAGAAACAAGCUUGUGAUGUUUCUGAUCUUGAACAUUGUCUUUACCCUUUGAUGAUCAUUGGUGUUUCUGAUCUUGAACAUUGUCUUUACCCUUUGAUGAUCAUUGGGACAAUACUUUAGAUAUAUAACAAAAAUCUUCUAACAAUCAU